RNAcentral lists this long non-coding RNA (676 nucleotides) under Prunus dulcis (almond). RNAcentral describes it as "sRNA ncRNA". The record is from RNAcentral. Lineage: Eukaryota; Viridiplantae; Streptophyta; Magnoliopsida; Rosales; Rosaceae.
UGUAUUCAGUUGUCCCUUCCUCCAUCCAUUCCUCUUAUCUCUCCCCAUACUCCAUUCAAAUCCCUUCUCUAUGGUCUUGGUAUCGUCCAUUCCUACCAAACUUUUCUCCUCCUUAUUGAUAUGGCUUCACCUUGUGGCUGCUUCGGCUUCUCGCGCACAACUCUGAAGAUGUGUAGAGUUCGAGCUUUUGCCCUUUUUCGGGUGCCUGCACCACCUCCUUAUACUAUGUUGAUUUGUGUUUGUUCUGGUGCUUUGUCAGGUUUGAUUUGGGAGGUGAUGAUCUUCUUGUGGCUGAUUUCUUUUUUCUUGUUUGUGUCUUUGAUAUAUAUGGGAUUUUUUGGUAUUUGGGUGGAUCUGUGGGUCGUGCAAUUUUUUCAUUUUGUGUCCCUUAGAUGUGGCAGCUCUUCCCCUCAACUUGUCCCCUUGAUGUCGUCUCGUGUGGUGUUGGCGGCGGCUCGGUUGAAUUUUGGUUAGGGUUUGCUAGCUUUCUUGGCCUUGGUUUUUGCCUGUUGGCUUAAUGCCUUCCUGGUUUUAAGCUUGUUGCUCUUUUCUUUGUAUUUUAUUUGGGCCUUUGGCCUUUUUGUUUUGUUGUUGAGCCUAGUUGGUUGGGUUUCAUUUUUUGUUGUAUUGUUAUACCCUUUUGUGGGUUUCUAAUGAAAACUACAUUCGAACAAAA